GAAUUUUCCGCAAUGGGCGAAAGCCUGACGGAGCAAUACCGCGUGAGGGAUGACGGCCUAUGGGUUGUAAACCUCUUUUCUCAGGGAGGAAUCAAUGACGUGUACCUGAGGAAUAAGCAUCGGCUAACUCCGUGCCAGCAGCCGCGGUAAGACGGAGGAUGCAAGUGUUAUCCGGAAUCACUGGGCGUAAAGCGUCUGUAGGUGGUCAAAUAAGUCAACUGUUAAAUCUUGAGGCUUAACCUCAAAAUCGCAGUCGAAACUAUUAGACUAGAGUAUAGUAGGGGUAGAGGGAAUUUCCAGUGGAGCGGUGAAAUGCGUAGAGAUUGGAAAGAACACCGAUGGCGAAGGCACUUUACUGGGCUAUUACUGACACUGAGAGACGAAAGCUAGGGUAGCAAAUGGGAUUAGAUACCCCAGUAGUC
This 422-nucleotide ribosomal RNA is filed under the name uncultured cyanobacterium. RNAcentral's name for it is "bacterial SSU rRNA". It matches the Rfam family "Bacterial small subunit ribosomal RNA", at positions 359 to 795 of the family's 1533-position model. The record is from RNAcentral. Lineage: Bacteria; Bacillati; Cyanobacteriota.